RNAcentral lists this ribosomal RNA (487 nucleotides) under uncultured bacterium. RNAcentral describes it as "bacterial SSU rRNA". It matches the Rfam family "Bacterial small subunit ribosomal RNA", at positions 355 to 859 of the family's 1533-position model. The record is from RNAcentral.
UAAAGAAUCUUCCACAAUGGACGAAAGUCUGAUGGAGCGACACCGCGUGAAGGAUGAAGGCCCUUGGGUCGUAAACUUCUUUUUUGGGGGAAAAAUUCUGAUUGUACCCUAAGAAUAAGCACCGGCAAAUCACGUGCCAGCAGCCGCGGUAAUACGUGAGGUGCAAACGUUACCCGGAAUUAUUGGGCGUAAAGCGUCCGCAGGUGGCUUGGUAAGUAGGGUGUUAAAUCUUGAGGCUCAACUUCAAGACUGUGCCCUAAACUACCUUGCUAGAGAUUAGGAGAGGUGAGUGGAAUUCUGCAUGUAGGGGUAAAAUCCGUAGAUAUGCAGAGGAACACCAAAAGCGAAGGCAGCUCACUGGCCUAUAUCUGACACUCAUGGACGAAAGCGUAGGUAGCAAACGGGAUUAGAUACCCGGUAGUCUACGCCGUAAACGAUGAUCACUCGAUGUCGGGAGUUCGACCCUCUCGGUGUCUAAGCAAACGCG